AAAUAGCCCCGAUUGAAGUAAAAAUCCUUAUAAGGCAAGUGUUUUGCCUUAUAAGAUUGAAACGGAAAGCGGGAGAAUUC
Non-coding RNA from Flavobacterium frigoris, 80 nucleotides. The record is from Rfam. NCBI's taxonomy places the organism in Bacteria, Pseudomonadati, Bacteroidota, Flavobacteriia, Flavobacteriales, Flavobacteriaceae.